Molecule: ribosomal RNA, 253 nt
Filed under: uncultured bacterium
Lineage: Bacteria
Description: partial 16S ribosomal RNA
Rfam family: Bacterial small subunit ribosomal RNA
Source: RNAcentral
UACGGAGGAUGCGAGCGUUAUCCGGAUUUAUUGGGUUUAAAGGGGGCGCAGACGGCGAUGCAAGCCAGGAGUGAAAGCCCGGGGCCCAACCCCGGGACUGCUCUUGGAACUGCGUGGCUGGAGUGCAGGAGGGGCAGGCGGAAUUCCUGGUGUAGCGGUGAAAUGCGUAGAUAUCAGGAGGAACACCGGUGGCGAAGGCGGCCUGCUGGACUGCAACUGACGUUGAGGCCCGAAAGCGUGGGGAGCAAACAGG